Molecule: ribosomal RNA, 494 nt
Filed under: uncultured bacterium
Lineage: Bacteria
Description: partial 16S ribosomal RNA
Rfam family: Bacterial small subunit ribosomal RNA
Source: RNAcentral
GACGAACGCUGGCGGCGUGCUUAACACAUGCAAGUCGAACGGUGAAGCGCCUUCCUUUUUGGUGGGUGUGGAGGAGUGGCGAACGGGUGAGUAACACGUAAGUAACCUGCCCCCUUCUUCUGGAUAACCGCAUGAAAGUGUGGCUAAUACGGGAUAUUCUGGUUCUGUCGCAUGAUGGGUCUGGGAAAGAUGUUGUUUCGGUGGGGGAUGGGCUCGCGGCCUAUCAGCUUGUUGGUGGGGUGAUGGCCUACCAAGGCGGUGACGGGUAGCCGGCCUGAGAGGGUGGACGGUCACACUGGGACAGAGACACGGCCCAGACUCCUACGGGAGGCAGCAGUGGGGAAUAUUGCACAAUGGGCGCAAGCCUGAUGCAGCGACGCCGCGGGAGGGAUGGAGGCCUUCGGGGUGUGAACCUCUUUCGCCAGUGAAGCAGGCCUGCCUCGUUUGUGGGUGGGUUGACGGUAGCUGGAUAAGAAGCGCCGGCUAACUACGUG